UACGAAGGGGGCGAGCGUUGUUCGGAAUUACUGGGCGUAAAGGGUGUGUAGGCGGUUUUAUAAGAUAGUGGUGAAAUGCCGGAGCUUAACUUUGGAAUUGCCAUUAUGACUGUAGGGCUUGAAUGAUGUAGAGGAUAGCGGAAUACCCAGUGUAGAGGUGAAAUUCGUAGAUAUUGGGUAGAACACCGGAGGCGAAGGCGGCUAUCUGGGCAUGCAUUGACGCUGAGGCACGAAAGCAUGGGGAUCAAAC
Molecule: ribosomal RNA, 250 nt
Filed under: uncultured prokaryote
Description: partial 16S ribosomal RNA
Rfam family: Bacterial small subunit ribosomal RNA
Source: RNAcentral